Rattus norvegicus (Norway rat) is the source of this 986-nucleotide non-coding RNA. Lineage: Eukaryota; Metazoa; Chordata; Mammalia; Rodentia; Muridae. The record is from RefSeq and is a predicted model, not a curated record.
AAGGAUGUUUUCUCCUUGUACAACUAGGCAAGGAAAUUGUCCGUGGCUGUUGUCUGAGAAGGUCUAUGUGACAGAGCACUGCAUUCUUAUAUUCGUUAAGAAUGAUGUCAUAGGAAAGAAGUGGAGUUUCCCUAAACGUGUUUUCCUAGCACUAUGUUUCAGAUGCCAUAGAAACAAACAGAUCAAAGUGGUAACACGUCUCCAGACACCAGGCUAGUGGCAAAGAGGGUUCCAGCCAAGUAGCAGAGGGAGCUGGCUCUGAAAAGGGACGAUACUGCUGUGCAUGAGGCCCUGGAGGACGACCUGGAACAGCUGCUGCCAUUCGGAGAGGUGGGGGCAGGGAGAAGAUCUGCUGCGGUGCCACCAACUAGCGAACAAGUUCCUUCCCUGGCCCCUUUCUUGUCACCCAAUUGAUAAAAAACAGUUUAUAAACAAAAACACAUUUAAAUUAGAUCCAUGUCAGACUUGAUUGGGGUCAGAGCAGCUCUUCUGUUUUUCUUGGACCAUGACAAUAUUGGAUUAUGAAAGAACUGUGAUUGUGAAAUUGAAGUUUCCUAGCAGUUUGUUCUACAGACAGUCAAGUUCAGUCUUUAUGACCAUGACCCUGAAGGAGACAGAGUUCUGCUCAUGCUGAACUUCUCUUGAGGAAUAGACUUCUACAGCAGGAAGCUGACUUGAAAAGGUCAUGCCCCAUCCAGUGACCAGGCAGGAGGAUGGGGAGGCCUCCCGCCUGGGUGCCAGAAAAACAAACAAAAGUGACAAUGUAUCUUCAAACACAUGCCUCUGGCUCAGAGAUGGUCUGGCCAACUAGCAGAUGGAACCCAUUUGGAAUGAGACAAUUCUGAAUGGCUCCAGAGCUCACCAGGGAUCUGUGGAUACCUUUUGUGUGACUGAAAGUCUGUUCCGCCUUUCUCUGUGCCCAGUCUGUUUCUUGCAUUCCAUGUAGCACCCAUUUUGUUCCACCUAUAAACCCACCGCUCCAAAAA